GAUGGGCUUAGAUGAUGAGCCUUA
This 24-nucleotide non-coding RNA is filed under the name Arabidopsis thaliana (thale cress). The record is from RNAcentral. Lineage: Eukaryota; Viridiplantae; Streptophyta; Magnoliopsida; Brassicales; Brassicaceae.